Molecule: RNA transcript, 805 nt
Organism: Perognathus longimembris pacificus (Pacific pocket mouse)
Lineage: Eukaryota; Metazoa; Chordata; Mammalia; Rodentia; Heteromyidae
Gene name: calcium load-activated calcium channel-like
Exons: 2
Source: RefSeq, a predicted model, not a curated record
AUGGCAAAAGCACAAGAGGAUAUUCGAAUUGUCCAGCGCUGCGCACAGAGGGUGAGAGCGGCUGUUUCGCUGUUGCUUGUUGGGUCUCCUAGAGGCAUAACCUGGGUCCUGGUUUACCGGACAGAUGAGUUCAAGAGACUGAAGGUGGAAGUGGAAAAACAGAGUAAAAAAUUGGAGAAGAAGAAGGAGACAAUAACAGAGUCAGCUGGUUGACAACAAAAAAAGAAAAUUGAGAGACAAGAAGAAAAACUGAAGAAUAACAACAGAGAUCUAUCAAUGGUUCGAAUGAAAUCUAUGUUUGCAAUUGGUUUUUGUUUUACUGCUCUAAUGGGAAUGUUCAAUUCCAUAUUUGAUGGUAGAGUGGUGGCAAAGCUCCCUUUUACUCCACUGUCCUACAUCCAAGGACUGUCUCACCAAAACCUGCUGGGAGAUGACACCACAGACUGCUCUUUCAUCUUCCUGUAUAUUCUGUGCACUAUGUCAAUUCAGCAAAACAUCCAGAAGAUUCUUGGCCUUGCCCCUUCACGAGCUGCCACCAAGCAGGCAGGUGGAUUUCUUGGCCCACCGCCUCCUUCUGGGAAGUUCUCUUGACCUCACACAGAAGAAUCCUUUAAUUCUUUUCAUUCUUUGUAGUCCCUCAGUUCAGACUGGCAACUCUUUUGUAGCAAGAGCCAUGGGCAGCCAUAGUACUUGGGGCCAUUUUCUAGUUUUGAAUUAUUUCUCAGCAUUUUGGAUAUAAUGAGAGCGAGAAUGGCACCAACAAAUAAGAUUGUGUUACAGAUUUUUUUUUUUGAUAGGUGGAUUG